CCGAGUUAUUCAACUCAUCAACCCUGUGAACUUACCUAUACGUUGCUUCGGCGGGAAUAGACGGCCCCGUAAAACGGGCCGCCCCCGCCAGAGGACCCUUAAUUCUGUUUCUUUUAGUGUAUCUUCUGAGUAAAACAAGCAAAUAAAUUA
RNAcentral lists this unclassified non-coding RNA (150 nucleotides) under uncultured fungus. Its description in RNAcentral is "sequence contains ITS1, 5.8S rRNA gene". The record is from RNAcentral. Lineage: Eukaryota; Fungi.